Molecule: non-coding RNA, 65 nt
Filed under: Aquimarina agarilytica ZC1
Lineage: Bacteria; Pseudomonadati; Bacteroidota; Flavobacteriia; Flavobacteriales; Flavobacteriaceae
Description: S15-Flavobacteria ribosomal protein leader
Rfam family: S15-Flavobacteria ribosomal protein leader
Source: RNAcentral
UACAUUUGCAGCCUUGAAAGAAAAUCUUUCAAAUGCAUAAUAAUCAUUUAAAUAAUAUUGGAAUG